AUGUCGGAAAGAUGGCUGAAGGCAAACGGAUAGAGAUUGUGACGAAGCGAGUUUAAAGCUACCGGCAAUAGUUCUAAAACGUUUUCGAUGAUGAAACGUUUGCGUGGUUCUAGUCUUUAUGAAAAGUUCGAUGUAAUUCAGAUGAGCUAGACAAAUGAGUAACGCAAAAAUUCUGGCUAAAAUUAAAGACACUUGAAGGAUUUGAAGCUAACUGAAUUCGCCUGAGGCCGAACACUUUUUUUCUUCUCGUGCAUGCGCAAAUAAAAGGAACUUUUGUCUAUCCAAACUAACUGGCAAAUCUAAGCAAAUCUUAUAAUCGGGAAAUGGGAAAACCUUAAAUGAGAUCAAUCUGAAGGGAAAAAGGACAAUUAUUUUAAUAGCAAUAAAGCCCGUUAUUGUAACAGGAAAUAGGAAAAGAUCGGUGUGGGGAAAAUAACAAACUACCAAGUUUAGGAAAUUGUAUUCAAGAGAAUAUAAUACCACUCUUUCAGCUCAACCCUUCAAGUUUCACUUUAAAACUUGAAAUAAGAAUUCUUUCAGUGUAAAUCAUAGAAAUAUUUUCAUAUCAUGCGGAGAAUUUAGCGUUGCAGAAUUGAAAGACAACAUCAUUUAUUUCGGCGUCUGAUGAUUCUGUUCUUAUUUCCAUUAUCUUAGUGGUAGACAAUGUAUUUUUAUGAACAAUAGCUUUCCUUUCUCCAGAGCAUCUUGUUAAUGUCGUUUUUCCCGUCUGCACAGUGAGAUUACGCAUUAGCUUUUUUUUCCCUUCGCGCUUCAGACGGACGCCAUUCAUCGACAAAGUUCUUAUCUGUUCUUGGGAAUGUGCAGUUCAGUCCGGAUCGAGCGAUCUGGGUUUGUGUUCUGGCCGGAGAUAUUGUGUUGUGUUCUUGGGCAAGACACUUUACUAUCACAGUCCCUCUCUCCUCUCAGGUUUACAAAUGGAUAUCGGCAAACUAAAUGCUGGAAAUAACCCUGCGAUGAACUAGCAUCCCAUCCAGAGGGGAGUAGAAAUACUCCUAGUCGUUUCAUGCUACAGAAACCGGGAUAAACUCCGGCCUUGAUGGGUCACUUUACCUCUUAUCUGUUCUUAAAGUUCGGGGCAAACUCGAUCGAUUGACUACCGGAAUAUUUAUUAUAAUAUGGAUGUUUGUUUGAAUAGAGGUGGCUGAUUUGCGUGGGUUUCCAACUUUCCUUACUCACCGUAGAUUUGGGCGUGGUAAAUUUUAAACACGUCUUGCUUAAUUUUACACCAUACCAAAUCAAAUGGAGACGAGAAUUCCCGCCUGCCAUUUUAGUGCGUCGUUCCUAUUCAGUUUAAAUUCAAAUAGCCUUUUACAGGUUAACAGGUUGGAGUAUAGGAUGAAGCAACGAUUUUGGGAUUCACGAUUUACAGGAAAGAGUUCUUCUCAUCAAAAGUUAGUCGCUUUUAGGCAGCUUGUAGCCAUUUUGAAACGAUAGUUCGACAAUCAACGUGUACUUACGCACGAAGUUGGCAAGGAACAAGUGAUCACAUCACAACCGAGGAGUCUUCGAUGUUUUUGCGACCGGAAGUUGUCGCCAAAACAAGUUAAAACGGAUUAGUAUCUUUUAAUUUGAAGAUAACCGUUUUUCCGCCUGCCGGCUCACUUUGUCCCGUUCUGUGUCAGUUUUGAUUCUUGCGGGGGAACGAAGACCCUCUACAACCAAUGCGGUUUUUCUUAAUCUCUUUGAAGGAAGCGAGUAUAUUACAGGCUGUUAGUUGAAACUUCAAUUUUUAGCAGUCUCGAGUUGUCAAGGAUUUGAGAAUUAUUUUCCUGCUAUGAAAAAAUAUCCGUGCAAGAAAAUUUUUAGAGAAAGUAUUUUUAAUACGCCGGCAGCCGGCAGACUGAAGUCGGUAGAUCUAUCUUCGUUGAUCUCCGCCGAAAACCGCAGAGACAGGCUUUUAUUAAAGGUCUGUUCAUUUGUUCUUUCCUGAAGUCUGCCCUCUGUGUUGUUGUCAGUGUUGAAAGGUCGCACGAACGCUGCAAUUCACGAUUCGAUUACGCUGACAAUACCUACUGUAAAUAUGUGUUAUACUGGGCAAACAAGCUAAUAAGUCUGGUGAAACAUUUGGCGUCAAUUAGCGUACUUUCGUUGUUUUCAGUAGGCAAAGUUUAAAAAGCGCUUUAACUACGGUCACGCCAAAUCCUUGUCUCACAGCUCUCUUUUGUUCAUUGUUUUCCGUCGUGGCACCUAUGUAAACUUUGGAGCAACUGAAAGCGAGAGCUUUUUGUGAAAGGUAUUUGUAUCGACCGUCUUUUAUACAGCGCUGUGUUUAAAGCUAUGGACAAAGAUUCCACCAAAUGCAUUGUUUAAAUUCUUUCCAAUAAGCCGAAAGCGGAAAAGGGUCGCAACUAAAAAACAUUCGCUUGUAAUGACCGGAAAGUUUGCUUCACGUAGAGCGAGGGAAGCCUGGUUCGUUUUAGCAAGCGUCGAGUGCUUUAGGAUGUAAGCGCGUGAAAAAAUUUCUUCACCGUGCGCGUAUUUGUGCCUUCAAAUGUUUUCAUCGAUAAUUUUCUAAACUGAAUUUUAAUCAAGUUAUCCACAUGGCGACGUCAUAGUCGAGUUUUGUUGUGCGAGCCGUCUAAAGGGAUUACCUCAAAAGAGCAUUAGUUGAAUUGAGUGUCAAGAGAUUUCAGAUCAUUGUGUGGCGGCCUACACUUUUAUGCUGAGUCGCCGGAGUGUUUGAAUACUUGGAAGGCGAUUCUUGUUUGAAUGAACCAAGCGACUCGAUCUUAAAGAUUUGUAUGUGGCGGGGCAUGGCAUUUUGAAGCAACACAUAUCAGAAAGCAAGAAGAAAGUGUCAGCGAAAGAACGGAAAAGGGAAUUGAAUUUAUUUUCAAGAAAUAGAUUUCCGAAAUGCGUUCGUCAGGAGCUCCUCGCCAUUCACGGACAUCCACGAAGCCAAACGAUAUUCCCCGAGAACUUGGCGUCUGGUGUGAAAAAUGCAACAACCGACUUGUCGAGCUCAAACGGCAAGUAAUGAGGAUGAUUUUGCCGGAAAUACAGGGUGUUUUGCAGAAGGAGCGAAAAAACAAAAAUACGGGAUCACUUUCUGCAAGGAUCUUCGACCAGAUCCGCAUUCCAGAGACGCAAAUGAAGUCAUGGAAAAAUGAUCAAUGUGAAGUGUGUGCCACAGACCUGAACCAACUGAAAAGAGAGGCUGUUGCCAUGGUGAAUACCUUGGAAGAGUCCCAGUUCCUCGCUUACUACAACAUUCCCGGAUACAUGGUGGGACCGAACGCUGACCAGCUCAUACGACGGGCGGACAAGCAGCGCCUGCAAGCCGGCGUCGCCAUGGAGACGGGUGAUCGUGGUGGUAUGAUGUAUGUGAAGCCGGAAGAGGCAGCUAUUGGUUCAUCGUUUCUGUCAAGGUAGGCUCCCAGUCUUGUAUUUGUAAGCUCACACGUUUGGUAGUCUGUCUGGAGAAAUCUGCUGAGCCCGCAGUUAGCCAGAGGUGCUGCUAAGCAACAUGGCGUCCCCUUAAGUACCUCGAAAGUCUUCGAGGUAACUUAGAUUUGUAAAAAAACCUAGACAGCAUAGUGCAAAUCUUAUUUGACCCCUUCUCAAGGCCGAUUUGCAAGACCGAAAUUCCGAUAUAAAUGGCACGAGAACCAGAAAAAAAGUAAAAAACGAGGUUCGACACGGUCAAAUGUCGUUGUGUAAACGUUUUUUUUCCUAUCCGUGCAGGGGCCACUGAAUAGGCAGUCAGUGCACUGAUGAAAUUUUCGUUAGGCAUGGAUGAGAAACGAAAUUCCCCUGCCGGGCUAUUGUUUUCAGUUAUAUCGGAACCGUGCAAAAAUUUUCUGUCGAGUAAGUCGGCUUCAAAUGUAUCAAUUCAAACAGUACGAUUCUCGGCCCAACCGCUAUUAUCAAUUAUUGUUUGAAUGAGAUCUCCGCCUCACGGUGGAAAAAUGUUGUCUCAGCUCCCAGUAUUCUCCCUCUCUCUAUGCUCAAUUUAGUUUAUUGAGUUACCGUACUCCCUUAGCGGAGAUCAUUCUA
Molecule: unclassified non-coding RNA, 4017 nt
Filed under: Orbicella faveolata
Lineage: Eukaryota; Metazoa; Cnidaria; Anthozoa; Scleractinia; Merulinidae
Description: kinesin-like protein KIF26B, transcript variant X3
Source: RNAcentral